GUGGGGAAUAUUGGACAAUGGGGGGAACCCUGAUCCAGCCAUGCCGCGUGUGUGAAGAAGGCCUUUUGGUUGUAAAGCACUUUAAGCGAGGAGGAGGCUACCGAGAUUAAUACUCUUGGAUAGUGGACGUUACUCGCAGAAUAAGCACCGGCUAACUCUGUGCCAGCAGCCGCGGUAAUACAGAGGGUGCAAGCGUUAAUCGGAUUUACUGGGCGUAAAGCGCGCGUAGGUGGCCAAUUAAGUCAAAUGUGAAAUCCCCGAGCUUAACUUGGGAAUUGCAUUCGAUACUGGGUGGCUAGAGUAUGGGAGAGGAUGGUAGAAUUCCAGGUGUAGCGGUGAAAUGCGUAGAGAUCUGGAGGAAUACCGAUGGCGAAGGCAGCCAUCUGGCCUAAUACUGACACUGAGGUGCGAAAGCAUGGGGAGCAAACAGGAUUAGAAACCCCUGUAGUCC
This 451-nucleotide ribosomal RNA is filed under the name uncultured bacterium. RNAcentral's name for it is "partial 16S ribosomal RNA". It matches the Rfam family "Bacterial small subunit ribosomal RNA", at positions 354 to 796 of the family's 1533-position model. The record is from RNAcentral.